UUGUUGAUCUUAGAUAAUCGAUUGUUAAGCGUAAAAUCUGGGAUUGAUUUUUGGAACGAUUGGCAAACAAUCGAUUGUGGAUUCUUGACAAUAGAUUGUCACAGAGUAAAAUCAGCAGUUCUUAGUUGGCAAUUAGGCAACGGUAAUAUAAGGUUUUUCAACUAUAAAUACAGCUCAAAUUCAGUCUUUUGAGUACACAAUAACACACAACAACUGAUCAUUCAAUUGCUAGUGCUUGCAUACUCUAUUGCUUAUCAUUUUAUAUUCAUUACAUAAGUUUAUGAGAGCCAAAUUAUUGUUCAAAGUUGUUGUGAUCUUGAGCGUAUUCUUUUACUCAUAUCUAC
RNAcentral lists this long non-coding RNA (344 nucleotides) under Nicotiana benthamiana. RNAcentral describes it as "long non-coding RNA (NBEN_LNC029758)". The record is from RNAcentral. Lineage: Eukaryota; Viridiplantae; Streptophyta; Magnoliopsida; Solanales; Solanaceae.